RNAcentral lists this long non-coding RNA (432 nucleotides) under Androctonus crassicauda. Lineage: Eukaryota; Metazoa; Arthropoda; Arachnida; Scorpiones; Buthidae. The record is from RNAcentral.
GUGCAAACAUUUGCUGUUAGGCUACAAUCUCUUGCAGCAGAAACUAUAAUUGAAGUAGCGAGCGCAAAUGAGCAGGAGUGAGCGGUAGUAGAAUAGUGCCAAAAAAAGGGAAUUGGACAAAAGAUUGCAAGUCCAAUUCUUGAAUGGGAUUAAUGACAGGAUCAAGAGAACUAUCAUGUCUCAUGAUCCGAAGACGUUAGAGGAAUUACUGUUAGUUGCUACAAGGGAAGAAUUAAUCAAUCAGGUGGUAGGCAAGCCAGGCCCUUAUGUGGGCAAAAUUGAAGAAAUCAAUGGAGUCAAUGUUACCGCUGAGGCAAUAGACCCAGUGGGGCUAUUGCUUCAGCAGGAGCAAACUUUCAAGCUUUCCGCGUUGACAAGGACACAGAAAGCUUGCAAACUGCCAUCAAACAAAUCAGCGACCGACUCAACAAG